UUUUUUUUUUUUUUUUUAGGGCCGCACCUGCAGCAUAGGGAAUGUCCCAGGAAGCUAGGGGUCCAAUCAGAAAUGCACCUGCUGGCCUACACCACAGCCAGAGUGACCCCAGAUCCAGCAAGUCUGGAUCCUCGACCCACUCACUGGUCAAGGCCAGGGGUUGAAUCCGCAUCCUCAUGGGUACUUGUCAGGUUAGUAACCCACUGAGCCACAAACGGAACUCCUCCAUUCUUAAUUCUAGUGUGGCUUCACAGAACCCUUUCCCAGUCUGCCCACCAUGACUGCUUAACAAAUAAAGAUUCAGGGAAUACAAAUGAGAGAAGGAAUGUAGGAGUCCGGGCUGUGGCGCAACAGGAUUGAUGGCGUCUCUACAGCUCUGGGAAGCAGGUUUGAACCCCGGGCCAGCCCAAUGGCUAAGGAUCUGGGGUUGCCGCCGCUGAAGCAUAGGUCGCAUCUGCGGCUGGGAUCUGAUCCCUGGCCUAGCUUAGUGGGUUAAGGAUCAGGUGUUGCCGUGAGCAGUGGUGUAGGCUGGCAGCUGCAGCUUCGAUUCAACCCCUAGCCUGGGAACUUCCCACGUGCCACAGGUGCAACCCUGAAGAGAAAAAACAAAAAGAAUUUUAUAUUCCAUGGCUGCAUAUAAGUGGGGAUUUGGUGUUUUUUAAUACUUGGUAAUGGAUUACAUAUGUAAUCCUUGGUCUCUCGAUUAAUAGUAAGUACUUAAUGAGUGCUUGGUGAACACUGAAUUCAUGUGGUGGUGGAGAAUUAACAGUUUUUAAAAAAAAAUCUCUCUAACACGUUAGAUUGCCUGAGAGAAGAAUGGAGAAGAGGUUAGCAUUAAAUGUUACGUAAAGUAAAUGGUUACAUCAUGAGCCAUCGGUUUAUUAAUUUGCAUUUAUUUAUUCAGUAAGCACUUUGGGGGCAUCUAUUAUGUGCCUGGUCUAGUCAGGAAACGAACCCCAGGGAACAGAAAAUCAGGGGUACUAAGUGUGCUGAGUGAGAACAAAGGAUUAUGCACAGGCUUCCCUACUGGUGGCCAAAUAUUUAGCCACAGGGACCACGACCCUCAGGCAGCUGUUUCCUGUAGAAGCAAUUGCUCAUAAAUCCUUUAAUCUGAACCCAAUAAAUGGCUCGUGUCCUAGAGCAGGGCACAGGGCAAGCCCCGGAACUAGAGCACUUGGUUUCAAAUACUGGUUUCCCUCAAUAAAACAUAUACAAAGGGCUAGCUCAGAGCCCGUAAAGGGUCAACGAUAAUAAAACGAUUGUUGUUAUGAAUUGUGCAAGUCUGUUUUGAAUUGGAAGUGGGAUAAAGAGGACUAUUGUAUUUGCCCUUCAUGUGUAUUACUUGUUUCAUUUUAUAAUAAUCCCAUUUUGCAGAGGGGAAAACUGAGGUUCUGAGAGCAGAAGUAACGUAUCCAUGGAAGCACUGGGGCUUUUUCUUUUAUUCUGAUUUGGAAUUCUACACCAUACCUGUGGUCCCAGCCUGCCAUUCAGGAAACAGGAAUAACUACCAAGUAGGAACCUUUCUGGCAGAUCCAACUGAGCACACACCCAAAAUGUCAUGGCCGUUUUGUUCUCUCAUAUUUUGUUCUUUUUUCAUAAAAUGGAAACCCUGGCUUUUCCAUUGGAAGCCAAAAGCUUAGAGCUGAGGAAGAGUUGUUACGUUAUACUUUUAUUUUGCAGGCUUUCAGGCCUGGUGAUUGCAGCGCGAUGAUUUUCAAAAUUCUUUUAAGGGGAAAAGAAAGUGUUACUAUCAGUUGUUUACACUGAUUUAAAAGGUAGAGGAGUUGCUCAGUGGCCCGGUGGGUUAAGGAUCUGGCACUGUCACUGCUGUGGCUUGUGUUGCUGCUGUGGUGCGGAUCCAAUCCCUGGCUUGGGAAUCAAACACCCUACAUGCCACAGGUAUGGCCAAAAGAAAAGCAGAAAAGAAAAAAAUAGAAACCCAGAAACUUACCCAUGAGGAAAUGACAAAAAGUAUCUUAACACGACAUUUCCAUGGGGCCAUUCAGGGGUAAUGCUCCAGACCAGCUUGAACAAGCUAAGGAUUAAAAUUUCAUGUGACAUGUAGAUUCUUCUCAUUCCCAAGUGAUAUGGGAUCAGUUUAAUGAGAGACAGACUGGCUAGGGAAGCUAAAUUGUUCAAGGCAUUAGAAAAUUAUUUGAAAACUGUGAUAGAACUAGUGAGUUAUAUUUUAUUUUGAAUUAAAAUCACAUUAACGAUUUAUCCUGAGCUCAGAUAUUUGCAGGGUCAAAUGGCAAUAGUGGCGGAGUUCUCUUCUGGUGCAGUGGGUUAUGGAUCUGGUAUGGUCCCCGCAGCGGCUUGGUUGCUGCUGUGGUGCAGGUUUGAUCCCUGGCCUGGGAACUUUUCCAUACCAUGGGUGGAGCUGGAAAAAAAGGGCGGCUUUGGAGUUGGACAAAUGGCGAUUUGAAACCUGACUGCACGCUUAGACAUUGAUCACUUUGAGGAAGUCAUUGCAGGUCUCAGGACUCAUUUCCAUCAUUUGUAAAUCUGGGAUACCAGCCCCCACUCAUAAGUUAUUGCGAGGAUCAAAUAGCAGCCGUAAAGUGCCCAGCAAAUUGCCCAGACCAAAUAGGCCUUAGCAUGUGUCCCUUGUCCUUUUUUAUUUGCUGAGUGAUUGGAACUCACUGUAUGGGCACUGCUAGCACGUAACUCAUCCUGGAGUUCCUGCUGCAGUGCAAUGGGAUGGGCAGCAUCUCUGGAGGACCAGGAUGCAGGUUCAGUCCCUGGCAGAGCACAGUGGGUUAAAGGAUCCCGAGUUGCAGCGUAGGUUGCAACUGAGGCUCUGUUCUGAUCCCUGGCCUGGGAACUCCAUAUGCCUCUGGGUGGCCAAAAACAACAACAAAUAAGAAAAAACAAAAACAGCAACAACAAAUCAGUCAUCCCUCCAACCCACCUCUACAAAGGAGGCUGACACCCAGGGAGGUUAAAUAGCCAGCACUUGGAACCACAGGUCUGAUAAGUAGGCAGAACUGGAACUGGAACACAGAGAACCCAGGCAAUCAGGCCAGUGGUCCCUGCACCACGCUGCUUGCUUUUACUUUGAGAGGAGAAUGUGUACUUUUAUGGAAAGAACAAAAGGAAGGGUGUCAGCUAGAAAAAUAUCCUUGCAUUUUAGGAUCCGUUUUGAAAUGUUUAUAAUAACCAUCUUUGGUCAUGUUCAAUACAGCACAACCUGCUCCUUCUCCUUCACCCAGUUCUGAUAUGCAGGCAACUUGUGGAAGAAGCAGCAGAAUGCUGUCAGACUAGCUCAUCUCCCCAGCUGCCCCUGGACCACCCAGCUCCAAUUCUGAGCUGUUUCUCCAGAGCAUGGCCUCGCAAGCACAGCAAUCAAGCAGUUGAAUCAGGAAUGUUUUAUUUAUGGCUUUAAUAGUGGCGUCUCUUGGGAAAACUUUGGUUUCCCAUUCCCAGAAGCAAAAAUUCAUCUACACAAAGUUCUUGAAAUUAUUACUGUUUAUUUUUUUUGCCUACCACGUUCUCUGAGCCACCUUAGUAGAGUUUAAAGCAUCGCUUCCCAAAAGAAGGAUAAUUUGAGCUGGCGUUCAUUUGGCUGGUUACAUACUGAGACAUCCAGUGUCAGAAAUUGAGAACAGGAGUUCCCAUCGUGGCUCAGUGGUAACAAACCCAACUAGUAUCCAUGAGGACUCGGGUUUGAUUCCUGGCCUCACUCAGUGGGUUAAGGAUCUGGCAUUGCCAUGAGCUGUGGUGUAGGUUGCAGGCGAGGCUCGGAUCUGGCAUUGCUGUGGCUGUGGGGCAGACCAGCAGCGGCAGCUCCCAUUCAACCCCUAGCCUGG
This 3809-nucleotide long non-coding RNA is filed under the name Sus scrofa (pig). RNAcentral's name for it is "lncRNA (ENSSSCG00040020591.1)". Lineage: Eukaryota; Metazoa; Chordata; Mammalia; Artiodactyla; Suidae. The record is from RNAcentral.